AUGGGAGAGCCCGGGAGAACCGAGCCCCGAACGGAGAGAAAGCAGCGCCACGCAGCGCUGGCGUGUCUGCGCGGCUUUUUGUUCGGUCAAGAGGUCUGUGACCAGAAGGAAGGAACCAGCCCUAUUCUAAAGAGGAUGUCAUUUGAGUCUCCAAACAGAAAUCUCUGCAUUGCAGCACUGUGGAAAGCCUGGUCAGCCCUGGCUAAAAGCUCGGGCUAAACUUGGUUACGUGAGUCACCACUUCAGUGACUUCAUACCACAGGCACGGCGGGAAGGAACAGCGGUGAUGCUGACAGACACCAGAGCUUAAAAGGGGAGAAAUAAUGAGAAGAAAAAUAAAGCACCAGUUUAUUCUCUAUGAUGGCUAGAAGGAAUCAGCCAUAGGAUUCCCUGCUCUGAUGAUGCAAGUCAGAGAGCUCUGAGUACCUGCGUGGCAGAACAGGGCUCUGAAGGGGCGGCUCUGGGACGGGGACCUCAGUUUGGGCACCAGGGCGGAGCCUGUGGCUCCAACAGGAAGAACUGCAGCUUGAUUAAAAAUGGCAAGGUGAUACAUUUGCAGUCCAAGGUGAAACUAUCCCCAGGCUAUUGGAGCAG
This is a long non-coding RNA of Oenanthe melanoleuca, 594 nucleotides long. RefSeq lists it as uncharacterized. The record is from RefSeq and is a predicted model, not a curated record. NCBI's taxonomy places the organism in Eukaryota, Metazoa, Chordata, Aves, Passeriformes, Muscicapidae. The transcript is spliced from 4 exons.